UGAUGUUGUACCCAUGGAGUUAGAGAAAUGUAAGUGAAUAUGAAAUAUUGUUGACCCCCCCCAUGGACAUUUAUUUCAUUGUUUUCAUAUCUAUUAAGCCAUUAGCUUCAAAUUAUGCCUUACAUGGGUACAUAUGUUUGCUAAAACUCAUCACAUUAUACACCAAAAAUGGGUAGGCUUUUUUUGGCAUAUAUACUAAUUUACUUUAUUAAAUCUUCCUAAUGUUCUUUAAGGGACAAGCCAGAUGAGUAGGCUACAGUGAAGAAAUUUUAUUUGGGAGAGUUAAGAAACCACUAUGAUACUUCCAACUAUUAUCUUCAGUGAUGCUUCUUUUCUUUAUGCAAGGACUCCAAGUAAUAUUCAGCUUCUACAGCUACCACAAAUGCAGCAAAUCCCCAUUUGAAUCCUUCUAAUAGUGCACCAAGAAAGGAAACAUUGUUUGCAAAGCCACCCGUGUAUCUCCAAGCUUCAGUGCAGCCUCAUAGAUCCCUUAGCCCGCUUGCAGCCAGUUUCUUCCGGACAGUUUCUAAUGGUGUCCCUUCUAUCUUCCAUUGUUUAUAAUCUGGAAAUUCCAUUUUACUAUGUCCAUGUUCAGGUCCAGGUGCCAUGUCUGACGGCUAUCUGACCUCUCAAGACACUCAACUUUGCAAACGGAGCCAAUCCGGGCGUGUUUUAUUAUAUGUAAGUUUACAUCGAUAAAGUUUACUUAUAAGGUUUUUAAAAUUAUGCCCCAUUGGAGUCUUUAUAGAGGAUCAGGAACGAAGUGAAGGUGAGCGAGCACAGCCUACCCUCCCCCAUCUCCAUUGAAUUAACCUGGGCAGCUAGACGCUAAUUUGUUUUACCGAAAGACCUUCAACAUAGAGUCUCGUCACUUUAAGAGGCAGGGAAGAACGUAGCUGUUGUGAGUAGAUGUUGAUUGACCUGAAUAUAAACAUAAAUUGUAUACAGCUGAAGACGGUGAGGAGGUGGAACGAACUGACAAAUCAUUCCAGUGACUUAAAGGCUGCAACGUUUUGGCAGCUACAGGGCCUCUUUCUCCUCCCUUUCAACUCGCCUGGCUCUUUGAGCCACAGGAGAGACCCAAAGCCCUGAAGAACAUCCCGGAAUGCAAAGCAUUUGCAGUGAGUCACAGCUGCAGAGGUGCCAGCAAGAGCUGUUCCAGACUUAAGUAAGAGAGGGAAGCGGGGAGGAAAGGUCAGUGGCCUCAGCUGCAGAGUUAUGUCAAAAGCUGGUCCCAGGAAAGAAGCAGUAGCACUGGCUGGAACAAGGAAGGAAAACAGUGAGAAUAUAGCUGCGUGGGGACCUAGUGGUUCCCUCUGAAGCUUCCCCACCUGCUUUGCAUGGGGCUGUCAGCUCUACUAGCUGCAUUCUCUAAAUUCUAAAAAUUCUCACAGGGAUAAAAACUUUCUGGAUGGUAGAGGAUUGUAAGUUGGCAUUUGGAAAAUGAUCCCUGACAGCCUUCUAACCAACAAUCAUAAAGGGC
Molecule: long non-coding RNA, 1483 nt
Filed under: Callithrix jacchus (white-tufted-ear marmoset)
Lineage: Eukaryota; Metazoa; Chordata; Mammalia; Primates; Cebidae
Description: lncRNA (ENSCJAG00000071278.1)
Source: RNAcentral